RNAcentral lists this ribosomal RNA (253 nucleotides) under uncultured bacterium. RNAcentral describes it as "partial 16S ribosomal RNA". It matches the Rfam family "Bacterial small subunit ribosomal RNA", at positions 524 to 776 of the family's 1533-position model. The record is from RNAcentral.
UACGAAGGGGGCUAGCGUUGUUCGGAAUCACUGGGCGUAAAGGGCGCGUAGGCGGCUUUGUAAGUCGGGGGUGAAAGCCUGUGGCUCAACCACAGAAUUGCCUUCGAUACUGCAUGGCUUGAGACCGGAAGAGGUUAGUGGAACUGCGAGUGUAGAGGUGAAAUUCGUAGAUAUUCGCAAGAACACCAGUGGCGAAGGCGGCUGACUGGUCCGGUUCUGACGCCGAGGCGCGAAAGCGUGGGGAGCAAACAGG